Long non-coding RNA from Brassica napus (rape), 10634 nucleotides. RefSeq lists it as uncharacterized. The record is from RefSeq and is a predicted model, not a curated record. NCBI's taxonomy places the organism in Eukaryota, Viridiplantae, Streptophyta, Magnoliopsida, Brassicales, Brassicaceae. The transcript has 3 exons.
ACAGGUCUAUUAUAUCAAGUACCCCCGGGUUAGGAACAGAGAUGAUCCAUGGGUCACUGUUACUUCACUCAACCUGAGAGGCCGAGUUCAGGGAAGUUCUGAGCUGGAAGACCCACUACAACCAAGCACAUCCGGUAACUUAAAUGCAGCAGAAGAUUUAGUUGCAGUUGGCCUUGUAGUCGAUUUAACCGACUUUGGAGAUGAAGCCGUCGUUCAGCCACUGUCGGGAUUCUUCAUUUCCCGCUCCGGUUUUUGCUCCCGCUGCUGCACCCUCUCCCGUUGCUGCACCCCCUCCCACUGCUGCACCCCCUCCCGCUCCUCCAGUCGUUCCGGGAGUGAUGACUGUUGCCCAGUUGGUUCAACAGCCCGGUCGUGAGCAUCUUCCCUAUCUCACUCCGUGUCCAAAGGGACGACUUCAAACAUGGUAAUUUAAAGUCUUUUUUUUUCCUUUCAUUAAAAUUUGAUUCAUUAUUAAUAAUUUGUUUCUUAUAUUAGGUUCAACCGAUCCGGGAACGGGAUCAGCGCAUGGAUCAACAAUAUGAUGUACUCGAACCUCAGCAAGGAUAUCCGACUUUCACUCACUUCCCUGCCGAGGACCAGGAGAUGUGGUUUCGUCAGUUUGCGGUAAGUAUUCUAAUUUUUUUACUUAUAUUUUUUAUCUUUAAUAUAAAAUUUCUACAAAUUAUGUUUUUUUUUCAGCAAGAGUUCACCUGGAAUCCCGAUCACACGAACUUUAUCCGUGACGCCUUCGUCCAUAAAGUUAUGGACAACUAUGGGAAGCAGAUCUACGAGUGGAAGCAGAAGUGGCUCAUCAACCAGGUUUUUUUUUAAUUUAUUAAACAAUUUUUUGAAUUUAUUAACUAGUUUUGGAUUUAUUAAACUAUUUUAUAUUUUUUUAUUAAAAGGUCCCGAAGUCGAUUAACAGCACGGUCUGGGAGGAGUUGUGUGUGCAUUAAGAUAAGGACGAGACGAAAGCUACCUUUGUGACCAACUCCGCCAACCGAAAGAGCUAUCGUGGCGGGAAGGGCAUGUACAAGCACAAUUUGGGUGCCCAGAUUAUUGCCACUCUGGGGAUCGCUUGGUAAGUUCAAUCUCUCUUUUUUUUUUAAUUAUUUAAGUAUUUUAUUUUAAUUUUUAUGCAUUUCUUCUAAUUUCUAAUGUUUGUUUAACUUUUGUUUUUUUCAAGGCGGAUGAAAAUGAUGGCGAGCCGGUUGAUGAUUUCGUCCUAAUGAAGACGGCGCAUACCAACAAGCACACCGGGGAGAUUGAUGAUGGUGUUGUGAGGGAUGUGCUCAGCCUGAUCGAAACUCAGAAGGAAGACGAAGAGACCCGUCUAUCUCAGCUUCAAACCGACCUGGACGCCACUUCGACGGCUUCGACCAACUUGUCCCGGAUUCGAAUCAACGAAAUCGUUGAAUCGUCGGUUCCAAAGAAGAAGGGACGUUUGGUCGGUUUGGGUCGUCGAGCCCGGUCAGUUCCUCCUUCUGCACCACAGCCCUAUGUUGAUCCAGAAGUGCUUAUGGACCCGUUGAAGGACAAAGAUGACCGCAUAGCUGCGUUGGAGCAAAAGAUGGCGGAUCAAGAGGCGGGAUGGGAGGCAACGAGGAAGCAGAACGAGCAAAUGAUGGAGAUGAUGAAGAGGAUGUACCCGAACGAGCCGUUCCCAUAGUUUCUUUCUUUUUUUUUCAAAAACUCUGAAUGUUUUAUUUUGGUAUGUAAAACUUUGAAUAUUAUCAUGUUUUCUAUUUCAAUUUUAAUUUUAUUUUUUCGAAUUUCAAUUAAAAAAAUAAAUUUUUAAUUUUUAAAACAAAAUUAUUUUUGGGAACAUUCCGAGGAAGUGUAUCCCUCGCGAUAUUCCGACGCAACUUCCUCGAAAUUUUCCGAGGGACAUAUCUCCUCAGAAUAUCCCGACGGAUACACUUCCUCGGAAUAUUCCGACGGCAAAGGUUUCUCGGAAUAUUCCCGUCGGAAUAUUCCGAUACCUCCUUUCUCUCAGAAUGUUUCCGAGGACCGUUCCAUCGGAAAUAUCCGAGGAGAUACCGAGGAACAGUCUUAGGAAAUGUUUCUUCGGAAUGUCCUCGGAAUCUUUAAUUCUCGGUAUUCCCUUGGAAUUUUCAAAGGAAAUUCCGAGGAAAUUUUACUUUCCGACGAGAAAUUUCCGACGACCAUUCUCGUCGGUAUGUCCUCGGAAUAACGGUAUUCCGAGGACAUACCGACGAGAAUGGUCGUCGGAAUCCCGGUGUUUUCUUGUAGUGUUGAGAGAUUUGUGAUUGGAACUCCAUUUGAUUCAUCUAUUCUAUUCUAUGCAGUUUUCAUUUACAUUUUGUGUCAUGAAAUGCUUAGCUAUGUCUGAGUAGUUCACUUGUUAGAUUCAGGGUUCAAAUAGGUUAGAGGGAUUAGCCCCAACUAUUGAUUGCUAUGUUGUGGUAUUUAUUGAUAGAUUGAUCUUAAUGCUUGUUCUAGAUUAGCUACCUAGAAUAUUGAAUCUAGGAAUCUGCAUGAGUCAAGCAACCUUGACCAUCCAGUCCUGAAUCUAAUCUGUCAGACUAGACGAUAGGAAAAAGUCUACCGCUGAACCAGGAAGCUAGUGGUCAUUAUCAACUUGCGCCUAGGGCUAAACUAGAAGCAUCGAUCGAUACUGUCUUCUGACAAUCGAUCGAUCUUGCGAAAGGUGUAUCGAUCGAUGUCCCUAUAGGACCAUCGAUCGACACUUUCUUGUGGUCAAAAAACGACAGUUGAGAUCCAAGAUCUAGUUAGUUAACUAGUGAAACAUUGCCAUUGCUGAUCACUGUGUUAAGGGGUUGAGUUCUAACAUAUAAUGCAAGCAACUGAUAGGCAUCUAUAGGAUUAUAAUCUCCAACACCUGAAUAGAAACCCUGCAUCUAAUAUCUUUCCAAUAAGUUACACCCCCAAUCAUCUUGUUAGUCGAGCAAUAGACUUGCUCAUUUAGGAUUGCUAUUUACUUUUAAACCAAUAAAUAACAAAAACCUUAGAAUUAAUAAUCAUGUAGAUUUAAUAGGUUCCCUAGCUCCUUGUGGAUUCGAUCCCUAAGUACUACAAUUGAACCUCUUAUUUGAGAGAGUAAUUCACUCCUUAGGGUAAUUUGAGUGGUAUCAAUCGAUAUUCCUCUAGAAUCAUCGAUCGACACUUAGAUCCGGUCAAUACCCAAACGUAGAAAGCGAACGCCGAUUGGUUUGUUCAUAAGCGUUUGAGCUCUAUAAUAUCAUGCAUACAACUGUUAGGCAUCUGUAGGAUUAUAAUCAUGAUUACCAAAAUAGAAAAUAUAAGUCUAGCUAUUUCAUUUAAGUACCAAAAACCCAAUCAAACCAAUCGAGAAACUGCCUUGCUCACAACCUGCUAUUUACAUUUAAACAUGAUCAACCUAGCUUAAUCACUCUGAUUAGAUUUAUUAAGUUUCCUAGCUCCUUGUGGAUUUGAUCCCUAAAUUUGGCGCCGUUACCGGGGAGCUUUGAUCGCCUAUAGAUAUGGUCUGAUUUUGUCUUGGUUACUUCUUUAAAUCACUUUCUGACAUAAAUUUUUUCUUGUCUUUUCAGGUACAUGCCUAACAGUACCAGAAGCAACAAGGAAACACCACUACUAUUCUCUUCAGAUCCUUCAAGCUGGGAACGUUCGAUCCGCAAAGGAAGACGCUUUCAUCGAUCGACAACAACACUAGUUCAUCGCUCGACACUCUCCAACCACCGUUGACCCAAACACCAAUUUCGUCGACGGACACUCGCUCACCACCCUCGACCGAAGCAACUCUUUUGUCGACCGAUAUCCUCCAUCCACAUCGAUCGAUACUUCAUCCCAAAAAUUGAUCGAUACUGAGCCGCGAGACAUGGUUGCCACUUUAGUUCUUGUGCGAGAUGAGAAUGGAGACCUGCAUGACCUGGAGGGCAUCUGCGUAAUGCAGCAGGCCAGCGGAUAGAUGCUCAGGGGACUGUAAUCCAUGAGCCCGAUACUGAUGCUACAAGAGCUGCUCAGCCUGUAGAUGAGGCUGCUCGACCCAUAACGUUUGCUGAUUACAACCGUACAGAUCAGUUCUAUCCCAACAGAUCAGCUAUUCAUCCUCCAACUAUCUAGAAAGGCGAUUUCGAGUUGAAGCCGCGGUACUACACACUCGUGCGACAGACACCCUAAUGUGGGAUAUCUCACGAGCAUCCUAUGGACCAACUGGAGAGGUUUGAGGAUCUUAUAUCUGCUAUCAAAGUCAAUGGAGUCCCUGAGGACCACCUAUUCUGCAAGCUCUUCAAGUACUCACUUGCUGGAGAGGCUUCGCAUUGGCUUAAGCAGUUACCACCAGGAUCCCUUACAUCCUGGGCCAACAUCAAGAAUGCAUUCCUGCGUAACUUCUUUGAUCAGGCACAUGCUGAAGACUUGAGGAGCAAGAUUGCUACAUGAGCCUACAAAGUCAUUUAGAAGUUCUAGAUCAGAUUCAAGUCUUACCAAAGGGAUUAUCCAAACCAUGGAUUCAAUGAAGUAUAGCUGCUCAGUAAUUUCUUCAGAGGCCUCAAAGCACAGUAUCAGAUGGCUCUUGAUGCAUCUAGCGAAGGGAAUUUCAACACUAGAAAUCUAGAUGAAGCUGUGAGACUUAUUGAGAACUUGGUAUCCAGCAAUAACACCAAGAACACUGAUUUUGAGAGGAGGAAAUCUGCAGCCAUCCUUGGGAAGGUGCAGAUGGAUGAGGUGAAAGCAAAGCUGGACAGUCUUCACAAGCUUCUCAUGAAGUAGGCUUGCUUAUUGGAGGAUGCAGAUGCUGUAGUUACAGAGGGUAGAGCAGAAGUAAAGGAGGAUGUGAACUUCAUCAGUGGAACUGGAUUCCAGGGUUCUGAAAACAAGAGUGUAAACAGAAACUUCUAUGGCAAUGGACAUAUGAGUAACUUCAAAUAGAGUUCACAGUACCAGAAACCCUACAGCCAGAACUACAGCAGCAACAACAAUAGGAGUUAUGAAAACUAAUCUUACCAGGAACCACCACCACCCACUCAGGAGAGCAAUAUUGAAUCAAUGCUUGAUAGAGUUCUUGAAGGACAGCAUAACCUGACGGUGAACUUCAAUGGGAAGAACGAUUAUGCCUACAACAACCUGAACUCAAAGUUUGAAACUUUGAGCACUCAUGUGAAAAAGCUGGAGAUGCAGGUAGUUCAGACAGGGGAAGCUGUUAAGAAGCAAGAAGCUUCAGCAAUGGGGUAGGAGAUGAUGCAAUGAAACACCACGUGAAUGCCAUCAUGGAUGAUGACUUCUGGCAAGUGGUGAAGCAUGAGAAGCUACAUGAAGGAGAUUUUGAAGUCGAAAGCUCGAUGAGUUUUGGCAGAUCGCAUUGGUGUCGAUCGACGCCAGACUUCGAACAUCGAUCGACGGAUUGCAACCAGAACUGAUCGACAAGCUUACCAGAGCAUCGUUCGACGACACCUACAGAGUCGCCUGCAUCGUGCAAUGCCGUGAGGAUCAUGACUCACAAGGAGUUCACAGCUAGACACUUAAAUCCGCCCAGCCCUGUUUAUGUCAACAUCGAUUGGCAAAAUGAGCCAGCCAUCGAUCGACAACGAGAGACCACCACUGAUCGACAACAUCCAGCGCCCAUCGAUCGGCGAACACCUCUCACAUUCCGAGUGCAGUUACCAAAGAUCGACAGCGCACAAAUCAAUGCACUCAGGCCACAACCAAAACCUUCAGACAACCCACCAGAGACCACCAGUACACAUUCAGAAGAUGCACCAGAGCCUAUGCAAGUUGAUAAGGGUACUAUAGGGAAAACCUUGAGGAAGAGAAAGGACAAGGUUGCUAAGCAUCUGAAGAGAGGAGCUAAUGAGAAGGAGAUGGAUAGUUUUCGUAAGAGAGUCUUUAGGAUUCUACUGGAAAAAUCAUUCGAGGAGGCCUACGUUACCCACAGAUUGUGGAUGUUCUUUAGAGAGACCAAGGAGGCUGAAGAGGACAUUAGGAGAAUGUUCCAUUAGGCUAGAUAUAAGAUGAAGAAUGUGAUUACACUGAAGAAGAAGAGUGAUCCUGGGAAGUUUGCAAUACCAUGUCUGGUGAAGGGUAUUGAGUUCCCACAUGCAUUAUGUGACACAUGAGCAUCAGUCAGCAUUCUACCUAGGGUUAUGGCAAAUCAUCUAGGUUUGAAGGUAGAGCCUUCCAAGGAAUCGUUCACUUUUGUGUAUUGUUCUCAAAGGAACUUAAGAGGGAUUGCAGAGACCUUGAAUGCAGAUUGGUACUGCCCUAGUUCCAGUAGAUUUCCAUGUCUUGGAUAUCAAGUUGAAGUGGAACUCUUCUUUGUUACUUGGAAGAGCUUUCUUGUCAACAAUAUGAGCAAUAUGCAACAUGCAAACCAACCAGUUGUGCCUGGCGCUCAUAGAUCCGCAUGUCUAUUAUGAUCCAAGUCCAGUUAUGAAGCCACAGACGUCCUCCUGAAGAAUCGAUGAUCCAGGACUCAUAGCAGCAUGUCACUGUGGAGCUGAGUACGAGACAGAGUAUUCCGCGUCGAUCAAAACUCACACACCAACAUCGAUUGACUGUCCGAAAUCGAUCGAAAAUCAACCAGAAGAAUCGAUCGACAGUUCAUCCACAGCAGCACGUGACGAUUAGCAACCACAUUGUUAUCUGAGUUUUGCACUCGAAGCCGCUACAUCAUCACAGCAUCUAGAUGAGUAUGAUGAGGAUUAUGAGGGGGAACGAGUUACAGAGUAUCAAGGUAUUCGUGCUGAGGAAGAUAGACUUCUCCACCAUUCCUAUCGGAUAAGGAAUACGAAGUCGAUCGACAGAACCAUCCCAACAUUGAUCGACACUCAUCAUCACCAGACAAAUUGUAAACGAGCAUCGACCGACAUUGCCUACUACACAUCGAUCAACAAUGGAGUUGACCGUGCACAAGAAGGAAACUAUUCAAUUGGCAGUUGGGCAUAUGAUCACUAUCAUGAGAGCUACGCAAGAGAAAGAGCAAUACAUGAGCCGGGAGCAGAUGAGUAACAUGAAGGUUUCACUACCGAGGAACUGCUCAACCACCAGGAACGCUCAGAUACAGAUUCACUCUUUGCAGAAGUUUGUGGAAGAAGCACUCGUUUCUGUCGUCCUUUCACCAGAGCUAAACGCCCAUCGAUCGACAAAAAAGCUUCAACAUUGAUCGACAACCGUCCAAAACCACCAUCAACUGUAAGUGCAAAAGCUAAACAAAAUAAUAACUAUCUAACACUGGAUGAGUUUGGUAUUUUCAAGGAUCCAGAAGGCUAUGCAAGAGCAAUGAAUGGACACGAUUGCAAGUAUCCAGAGAGGACAUUCCAGAUAUCCUUCUGAUGGCUAAUGGCUAAUGGAGCAGAAAAUCUCUUCAUGCAACGACACAACCCUCUAGAGCACCAGCAUAGAGUUAUAAACGAGUUCUAUGACCCAACUGGUGGACUAGAUGAUCGUUUCAAGCCAAAGUGUCGACAACAUACUCAACUGUUGAUCGACAUCAGAGUCCCAACAUUGAUCGACCGACGUCCAGAGUUCGGAAAAAGAGCCUACGACGGUGAUGGAACAAGGAAAUUCCACUGGGAAGGGAAUGAUGAGUGUGGGGUCUACAGAGAUGAUCAUGAACAUGCACGAAAUGUAAAAGGACACAUCAUCCAUGUAUCUAAGGAUGAUAUAAGAAAUCUUCUGGUAAGAGCCUCAAUGGAUGAACACAGCUACAUAUGUCUUCCAGAGCAUGCACGGUCAUUCACCCAGACCAUGCUAGUACCAGAAAUCUUCACCAACAAUGAGAUAAAUGAGAUGCUUUAUGGAAUCUGUGGAGCCCAGGAAAAGAAUGAUGAUGAUUUCCAAAUGAAUCUUGAUGGUUUCUAAUACCCAUUGAAUGAUAGUAUUAGUUGGUUGACUACAUGCAUGGAGAGAUGAGGCAAGACAUAGUCAGAAUGCAGACACAGCGUGCGGCCGAAGCAAUUACACCAGCAUUGAUCGACAGAAACAUCUCGAUAUCGAUCGACGAUGAACUGUCACAAUCAAAUCCGAUGAAGUCUCGACCAGAUACUUACACUAGAGCAGAGAUUGAUCAGAUAGUAGAAGAGAUCUACAAAACUAUGGGAGCCCCAGAAGAGAGGCUUGAUAGGAGAUGUGAUGACAUCUAUUUCCCAUGGGACAUCACCAUCAGUUCUUUGACUUCUCAGACAUAAGCAAUGCAGAGGGAGAUAGUGGAGCUUCAGAGAUACAUCGCGUGUCGUCCAGAGGCAUCGACAGACGCAUCAACAUAUCGACCGACAGUCACAGAAGAACAUCGAUCGACAAAACCACACCAACAAACCGAGGAGAGCUAGUAACAAAGGUGAAAUUAGAUAUGUCUGAUACAAACAAACAUGGAGAGGAGAUCUCAGCUGACACAUACGCCAGACUUGUGAUACAUCAGUUCAAACUUGAAUGACUUGGAGACAGACUGCAGAAGAUAGAAAAUACAACUGCAAGAAUGAAAGUCAAAUGGUGCAGAGGAGAUGAGGCAGUGAAAGACUUCACUGGUACAUGGUUCAACAAGAGCAGAGAAGAGAUGGAGACUUGCUUCCCAGCAAGUACCUGUUUUCCACAUUACUAGCCAAAUCAACUCCAAUGUCAAGCUAAAUGACUAUAAUAAAGCGCUGAGUGGGAGGCAACCCACUAUUAGGUAAUUUUAAUUGGUUUUCAUUAGUUUAGUACUUAUGCCCGUUUUUGAAUUUUGCAGGUCAUAAAAAAAAAACAGAUCCAAGUAGACGAUUGCCAAGAAUAUCAAACGAUGAGAUCCAGCCGAUAUCAAUCGACAGAACAUCACCUGCCGAGACCGAUGACAACAACAACACAUCGAUCGAUAUUUAUUCCGGUCUGGUAUAUCGUUCUUACUUGUUAAAUGGAGUCCUUUUGCUUUAGUUAUCACCACAACAUGAUAGGCCAUGGAUUUUACCCACUUUUAGUCGUGGUUUAUAAGUGUUUUAACAACUAAUUACUAUGUUGUAGAGUCUAUUUAGUAUAUUUAUAGGAUCAGGAGUGCUUUGGAAGAAAGUGAUGAUUUUGGAGCAUUUUGGAGACAAUUGGAGAGAGCAUCCGAGCUUACCAUCGAGCAAGAUCAACGGUCCACAUUUUGAGAUAAUAAUCGAUCAACACACACCUUUUGACAUUGAUCGAAAGCGAAGCGCGCAGAAGCCCAUUUGGUUUCAGCAGACUUAGAGCCCAAGACUUCACCAAAUUACAAGAUUGCCCCUGGCGAGUUUUUAACCUAAUAUUUAUAGCUUCCAAAGUGUUUUAGGCAAAGUGUGCUUUCUUGUUUUCUUAUUUUCACAACAAAGGUUUUCUAGGAUUUUAGUAGAGUUGGAGAGAAGAUCCAAAGAGAUUUGUGAUUGAAACUCCCUUACUAUCUAUUAUCUAUUUAUGCAGUUUUUAUACCUUGUGGUUAUGAAUUGCUUAGCUAUGUCUAAGUGGUUCUAUAGCUAGGUUUAGGGUUUAAAUAGGUUAUGAGGGAUUAGCCCGAACUGUAGAUUGCUAAGUUGUGAUAUUCAUCAUUAGGAUUGUCAUUAAUGCAUGUUUAUAGUGUAGCUAGCUAGGAGUUGUAGGCACAAAUUAACACUUGAAUCUCACCCUGAAUCCGUCCUAAUUGAGCUAGGAUUGUUAGGGUAAGGUGAAAGCUAAUCUAGUAAGCCUAGUGAGCACUAUUAAACCCGCGCGUAAAGCUUGACUAAGAGCGCGUCGAUCAAUAUUCCUAGAUAAUAAUUGAUUGACAGAGCAAUAGGUGUAUCGAUCGAUAUUCCUUUAGAAUCAUCGAUCGACACUUAGAUCUGGUCAAUAGACAAACCUAGAAAGCGAACGCCGAUCGGUUUGUUCAUAAGAGCUCUAUAAUAUCAUGCAUACAACUGUUAGGCAUCUGUAGGAAUUUAAUCCUGAUUACCUGAAUAUAAACCCUAAAUCUAGCUAUUUCAUUUAAGUACCAAAAACCCAUUCAAACCAAUCGAGCAACUGCCUUGCUCACAACCUGCUAUUUACAUUUAAACAUAAUCAACCUAGCUUAAUCACUCUGAUUAGAUGCGAUCGUGACAUUGCUGAUUACCCUAUUUCUAUUGGUGCCGAUCCUGUAUUGUUUUGUAACCGUAUGAAAGACGCUCUUGUCAACAAGGGUUAUAAAGGGGAGUUGUCAAUCUAUGUUUACGUUGAUACUGGUGAAUUGCUACCUAAAUGUCUGGAGACCUUUGUCGAAUUCGAUUUCUUGCCCAAAGGUGAUGACUAUGCCAGAAUUUCUUCGAUGUUAGUGGACAUUUCUUUUUGGGCACUGUCAUAUCCUCACUCAAAUAUUAUUGUCCUCUCCAAAAAAAUCGUAAGAGACACGAUUUUGUCUUUCGAAAGCUUGUAUAAUACACAUGGUCUUCUCUUAUCCAAAACUGAACCGCAUUGGCUGGUUCCUAGUGAAAGUUCAGCCUUGUUUCUGGCAAGCCUUUUUAAAGACCAACCGGAGGCCAGCUGACAAGCUCUCAAACGUGUUCUGCCAAUUAGUUGAAGCCGAGGCCAGUUGCUCCUCUUUGACCUGGAACCCGUGUAUAGAAUUCCCAAAACUGCUUUGUCUUGCUUUGUUAAACUGCUUUGUUAAACUGCUUUGUCUUGCUUUGUUGAACUGCUUCCCGUUUCUUUAAUAUGCUUCCGCUUUCGUUAAA